UCUCAUCUUUCUUGAAUGUGUGUGCUCUUUUGAUCUUUUAUUUCCUGCCAUGGGAUGAUACAGCAAGAAGGCUCACCAGAUUCUCGUACUUUGGUAUUAAACUAGGCGUCCAGGAUAUUAAGAAUUCAAGGAGAUUGGAACCACCUGGACCAUCUGGAUAUCCCACAGAAGACCACACUGACCCAUUAUUACACUGAUGAUAUCAUGCUGAUUGGGCAAGAGAAGCAAGAGGAAGGAAGGCCCACAGAAGUUGCUGUGUGAACAUGUGUGGAGAUGUGAAUCCAUAUAGCUCAAAGGGUGGACUGUGACACCUAUGAGAGCUACAAAUGAAGACUUAGGAGUGUUCAUCAAAUAAGGAGUUGCAAGAAGAACACAGAAACCAGAUUUAUUGUAUACAUGAAAAAAUAAAAAGUACUACUCAA
RNAcentral lists this long non-coding RNA (422 nucleotides) under Homo sapiens (human). RNAcentral describes it as "HSALNT0326222". The record is from RNAcentral. Lineage: Eukaryota; Metazoa; Chordata; Mammalia; Primates; Hominidae.